AACGAACGCUGGCGGCAUGCCUAACACAUGCAAGUCGAACGAUGCCUUCGGGCAUAGUGGCGCACGGGUGCGUAACGCGUGGGAAUCUGCCCUUGGCUUCGGAAUAACAGUUAGAAAUGACUGCUAAUACCGGAUGAUGUCCCCCUGAGAGAUCUUGGGGACCAAAGAUUUAUCGGCCAGGGAUGAGCCCGCGUAGGAUUAGGUAGUUGGUGAGGUAAAGGCCUACCAAGCCGACGAUCCUUAGCUGGUCUGAGAGGAUGAUCAGCCACACUGGGACUGAGACACGGCCCAGACUCCUACGGGAGGCAGCAGUGGGGAAUAUUGGACAAUGGGGGGAACCCUGAUCCAGCAAUGCCGCGUGAGUGAUGAAGGCCUUAGGGUUGUAAAGCUCUUUUACCAGGGAUGAUAAUGACAGUACCUGGAGAAUAAGCUCCGGCUAACUCCGUG
RNAcentral lists this ribosomal RNA (447 nucleotides) under uncultured bacterium. RNAcentral's name for it is "partial 16S ribosomal RNA". It matches the Rfam family "Bacterial small subunit ribosomal RNA", at positions 29 to 507 of the family's 1533-position model. The record is from RNAcentral.